GAAUGUUAUCUGCCAACAGAUGGUGCUACAUGAAAACCCAGAUGAUCGGCAAAGUUGCAAUUCAUCCUGAGUGGUUGUCUGCACCAAAUGUCAUGGUAAAACAUCCAAAAGUCAAGACAUUUCACUCAAAAUAACAAAUAUCAACCUCAUGGUGGCGCUAGAGGGAAAAUCAGGGGAUCACUGCAGUCAUUAGGAUUCAUCCUCUUGGGAGAGUCAGUGUCUCUACAAAAUAUCAUGACAAUCCAUCCAAUAAUUGUUGAGAUAUUUCAAUCUGGACCAGUGUGGUGGACCGACCAACCGACUGCCAACUGCCAAACACAGAACCAGGCCAAAACAUGGGUUAGCAACUGUCCAACAUUUCUGGACACCAAGGCGGUCUCUUUAGAGGUGAAGCCUGAUGCUGUGAAGUUAUCUGAAAGUCAAAUGAUGUUCCAGAGUUGGAAGGCUCCAGGGGAUUAUGUUACAGCACUAAGAGCACUACACGUGUCAACCAGGUGAACACCACAGAUUCACAGAUUUUUAAGGUGACACGGGACUUUGAACUGCAGACACAUGGAGGGCUGUUGUAGGUCUGCAACCAAAGAGGACGAUCAGAGCAGCUACACGCUCCUGCGGCAGAACACUGAUGUCAUUAUAUCAAAUAAAAGAAUCACAAAGAAAGGAAGUCACGCAGGAGGUAGAUGGAUACCUGUGGGGGGCCACGGAACAAUGUGAUGCAUGAAACUAAACAGUCUACAUGUGCUCGUGCGUCAAGGGUUUGGAGAGCUGAGACACUGCGUCAUCACGCGUCCCUGUUGACACUGACGCAACUACUUUCCAAAGAAUGUCUUCAUGUCUGUCUGUCUGUCAGCCUCACUAUUGCCUAUAAAGACCAGAGCUCCGCCCAGUGGCAGGAACUGAACCGGCACCCUGUUUAAUCUUCUUUAAAUAAGUCUUCAUAAUUUGGAGUGCAAAAAAGAAAAUACAUGCAGCCUCUACAUAUUUAUGUGCCAACUCAAUAUUCUUUUAAAGCACUAUAAAGUGGCAACACAUAUCUAAUCUAAUCCAAAGAAAGUGACAUUAUUCUCCUGAUAAACUGUAUCCCUGUUGCAGCGUUUCUCACAAACAGCAUCUGAGCAAACGCAGAUGUAACAGUUCAUAUGGAGGAGCGAUUUGGACAUGUAAAGAUAGAUUUCAUUGAUUUCCCAUGUAGAUGUUGCUGUUUCUCCUUCCUUAUUAGAGAGGUCAUAGGUCGAGAGGCUGUUAGAAAUGUAGGAAUUUGCAGUCUUGAUGGCACAGUUUGGAUACAGGUUGUAUUUUCAGGAAGCAGAUGGAAAUCCACAGUAAACUUUAUUUGUUUCCCUCCACUGAUGCAGCUUUUGAGUGUCAUGGCCCAAAAUGUCAUCUGUUAACUCAAUCAAAAACACAAGACUGACUGAGUAAUGUCUCCAUCAUCACCAUCUGACGCAUUCGGCCUGUUCACCCACCCUUUCUCUUCACACACACGCGCGCGCACGAAUUCACGCACGACCUUGGCGCAACCCCUCCCUCCUCCGGUUCGGCUCAGCUAUAUAAAUCUCCUCUGUUUGGAGUUUGGAACCAAGGUGCAGCGACCCGCAGAGUGAAGACUGAUCGAAGAAAACAAUCGCACCAACGAGACAUCCGCUGCUGUGAAAAACCACCUGUGGUUCCGACCUCUACCUGUAAGCUCCAAAGUCUUCUCAAAGUAAGUCCUCGCACUCUCACUCUGACUCCAAUAGGAAUAAAUAUGUGUUAAUAGGCCGUAUUCUGUGCAUAAUCCUAUAUAGAACUGCAUUCGUAGAACUGGUCGAGGCAGACGACCACCCACCUAGAGCCGAAGGGUCUGUCCUAAGUUUCUGCCUUUUAACAGGCAGUUUUUCUUUGCCCCCGUCGCCAAGUGCUUGCUCAUGGUGGUACUGUUGGGUCUCUGUAAAUAAUGUUAUAAGGAGUUCGGUCUAGACCUGCUCUAUUUGAAAAGUGUCCUGAGAUAACUUCUGUUAUGAAUUGGCGCUAUACAAAUAAAACUGAAUUGAAUUGAAUUCGGACGGAUUUUCUUAACAGUUUAGAAAUACCUGCAGACCGAAUAGAAGAGAAUUUCUGUGAGCAAGAUUUUCUAAAUAAAAGCCUUCUUGAUAUGUUAAAUGUUUUGUUCAGCCAAUGCUUUUUUUUCCUUAAAGUUUUUUCUACCAUCGACUGAAAAAAGCUCACAAUCUUUGCAGUCAGACUGUUAGUUCAAUUACUUUUUCCAACUUUAUUUAUGACUUGUCAGGGUGCGCAGUUUGCAGGUUAAACCUAAAGUGAGCUUAAAAAAAAAAAAAAGAAAAGCAUUGUUGCAUGACAACAAUUUUAAGGAACUCUAAACAUGAACACAACAUUGGCGUUAAAUUGUGCGCUUCACAGCUCUGAGGUCGCGUUUGUGCAUGAAGUUUGAGUGAAAUCUCACCUACCUGAGGUGAAGCCGUUCAGCACCACGGACAGCGCCAGAUCCGAACCACACAGACAGAUGCCAGUCAGGUCUCCUCACUGCGGCCAUAUGCAGAGCCGCUCUUUAAGAGGAACAGUCAGAUACACUCACUUUUCUGUUUCAAACAUCACAGGCUGCAGUCGAAAAUAGCGCAGUUGUAACUCAUCCUGUGAACCUGCAGUCGCUCUGUAAUGUGGAGGAAUGAGAGCAGACAGAAGGGACCUGUUGCUCAGUGUAACUCGACUCAAUCUGUAAAAAGACACCUGCCGCUGCAUUUAUUAUUGCAUGAGGGUUUUAAACAUAGGAUGAGGGAUUACAUACAGUACAGUAAUAUUAAAUAACGAUGUUAUUAUAUGUUAUACACUUUAUUUAUUGUCUCACAACUCAGACGCUAUAAUAAAGAUUAGAAAACUCAAGGAAUAUGGUAAAAAAAGAGUGUAGUUUACGCAUUCAACACAAAAUUGGCAGAUACAUACUGUGCAGGUGGGCAGAGCAAGAUAUUAGUAUUAGAUUAGUAGUCAUAAUAAUAAAGUUAUAACACAGUUCACUUGUUGCAUUGUUCAAAUAGGCUUUCUCACAUUGUAACUUCAUCAGAAGCACUCUGUUUUAGCCACAGGGGCGGCAGCCGGCACCCAGUUUGGUGUCAAAUGCUGUCAAAUUGAACUAAUUUAUGUAGAUUAAUUUUAAAAAGAAUGUGUUGAAAAACGAAAAUGAAUGAACUGAUCUGUUAUGACCACAUUUUAGACUGACUGAUAGUCUUAAGUUUAAUGAAAAAAGGCCUGAUUUUGGGGGAAAAACGUCUGAAGAUUUGGAAAUAAAGCAAUUUAUUGAUUUCUGAUGCCAUUUCUAUUCAGUGCUUUACUAAUGUGCCACAAUAAUAUAAUGUUUGUGACUUCAAAUACUGAUAAAUGUGAUUGUUGCUGCCCUCUGGCCGCCCCAUGAAUAUUUGUGUGGAUUAGCCACCACACUCUAUCAAAUAAUAUGAGAUUAAAUUAAGUUAAAAUGACAACAAUAAUGUUUGGAGGACUGAGAGCCAUGGAUCAGAGAGGUAUAGUUUAUUGUUAUAGCUGCUUUCAGAAAAUGUAAUUAGCUGG
RNAcentral lists this long non-coding RNA (3558 nucleotides) under Dicentrarchus labrax (European seabass). Its description in RNAcentral is "lncRNA (ENSDLAG00005027352.1)". The record is from RNAcentral. Lineage: Eukaryota; Metazoa; Chordata; Actinopteri; Moronidae.